Molecule: ribosomal RNA, 644 nt
Filed under: fungal endophyte
Lineage: Eukaryota; Fungi
Description: eukaryotic LSU rRNA
Rfam family: 5.8S ribosomal RNA (bases 191-344)
Source: RNAcentral
CGGAGGGAUCAUUAAAGAGUUCUAUAACUCCCAAACCCAUGUGAACAUACCUAACGUUGCCUCGGCAGGUCGCACCUACCUUGUAGCACCCUACCCUGUAGGGCCUACCCGGGAGGUGCGGGUAAGCCUGCCGGCGGCCCACCAAACUCUGUUUGAUAUUGAAUUCUGAACCUAUAACUAAAUAAGUUAAAACUUUCAACAACGGAUCUCUUGGUUCUGGCAUCGAUGAAGAACGCAGCGAAAUGCGAUAAGUAAUGUGAAUUGCAGAAUUCAGUGAAUCAUCGAAUCUUUGAACGCAUAUUGCGCCCAUUAGUAUUCUAGUGGGCAGGACCGUUCGAGCGUCAUUUCAACCCUUAAGCCUUCGUUGCUUAGUGUUGGGAGCCUACGGCAACGUAGCUCCUCAAAGUUAGUGGCGGAGUUGGUUCACACUCUAGACGUAGUAAUUUUUUAUCUCGCCUAUUAGUUGGACUAAUCCCCUGCCGUAAAACCCCUAAUUUAUCAAGGUUGACCUCGAAUCGGUUCAGACAAACUCGCUAAAUUGAAGCAUCUUAGUCAGCGAAGGAAAAGAAACCAACAGGGAUUGCCCUAGUAACGGCGAGUGAAGCGGCAACAGCUCAAAUUUGAAAUCUGGCCCUCGGGUCCGA